This 259-nucleotide ribosomal RNA is filed under the name uncultured bacterium. Its description in RNAcentral is "partial 16S ribosomal RNA". It matches the Rfam family "Bacterial small subunit ribosomal RNA", at positions 57 to 305 of the family's 1533-position model. The record is from RNAcentral.
GCAAGUCGAACGAGAACCUCUCAAUAGGUAACUAUCGAGGGACUUCUAGUGGCGAACGGGUGAGUAACACGUGAGUAACCUGCCCCAAAGACCGGGAUAGCCCAUGGAAACGUGGAUUAAUACCGGAUACCCUCGCGGAAUCGCAUGGUUCUGCGAGGAAAUGCUCAGGCGCUUUGGGAUGGACUCGCGGCCUAUCAGCUAGUUGGUGAGGUAACGGCUCACCAAGGCUCUGACGGGUAGCUGGUCUGAGAGGACGAAC